GAUGAACGCUGGCGGCGUGCCUAAUACAUGCAAGUCGAGCGAACAGACGAGGAGCUUGCUCCUCUGACGUUAGCGGCGGACGGGUGAGUAACACGUGGAUAACCUACCUAUAAGACUGGGAUAACUUCGGGAAACCGGAGCUAAUACCGGAUAAUAUAUUGAACCGCAUGGUUCAAUAGUUAAAGACGGUUUUGCUGUCACUUAUAGAUGGAUCCGCGCCGCAUUAGCUAGUUGGUAAGGUAACGGCUUACUAAGGCAACGAUGCGUAGCCGACCUGAGAGGGGGAACGGCCACACAGGAGCUGAGACACGGUCCAGACUCCGACGGGAGGCAGCGGUAGGGACUCUUCCGCAAUGGGCGAAAGCCUGACGGAGCAACGCCGCGUGAGUGAAGAAGGUCUUCGGAUCGUAAAACUCUGUUAUUAGGGAAGAACAAAUGUGUAAGUAACUAUGCACGUCUUGACGGUACCUAAUCAGAAAGCCACGGCUAACUACGUG
Molecule: ribosomal RNA, 497 nt
Filed under: uncultured bacterium
Lineage: Bacteria
Description: partial 16S ribosomal RNA
Rfam family: Bacterial small subunit ribosomal RNA
Source: RNAcentral